RNAcentral lists this non-coding RNA (199 nucleotides) under Bordetella flabilis. Lineage: Bacteria; Pseudomonadati; Pseudomonadota; Betaproteobacteria; Burkholderiales; Alcaligenaceae. The record is from RNAcentral.
AUUCCGCCCCCUCGAAUCGGUGCUUUCAGCGCAUCCGCGCGGUGAAAGGUAAACGGGAAACAGGAAAGGAUCCAGGCGGCGGCCCGCGUAGCGGCUGCCGGCUCCUCGGCCUGUGCUGCCCCCGCAACGGUCCUCAUGCUGCCGGCCAUCCGGCCGGACAGCAUGACAGCCCGAUACCGGCCGGUUCGCCCGGGGAAGA